RNAcentral lists this transfer RNA (87 nucleotides) under Aeromicrobium terrae. RNAcentral describes it as "Aeromicrobium sp. CC-CFT486 tRNA-Leu". It matches the Rfam family "tRNA". Rfam says of the family: Transfer RNA (tRNA) molecules are approximately 80 nucleotides in length. Their secondary structure includes four short double-helical elements and three loops (D, anti-codon, and T loops). The record is from RNAcentral. Lineage: Bacteria; Bacillati; Actinomycetota; Actinomycetes; Propionibacteriales; Nocardioidaceae.
GCCGGGAUGGCGGAAUCGGCAGACGCGAUGGUCUCAAAAACCAUUGUCCGAAAGGGCGUGCGGGUUCAAGUCCCGCUCCCGGCACCC